UACGUAGGGGGCAAGCGUUGCCCGGAAUCAUUGGGCGUAAAGCGCGUGUAGGCGGCCCGAUAAGUCCGCUGUGAAAGUCCAGGGCUCAACCCUGGAAUGCCGGUGGAUACUGUCGGGCUCGAGUCCGGAAGAGGCGAGUGGAAUUCCUGGUGUAGCGGUGAAAUGCGCAGAUAUCAGGAGGAACACCAAUGGCGAAGGCAGCUCGCUGGGACGGUACUGACGCUGAGACGCGAAAGCGUGGGGAGCAAACAGG
Molecule: ribosomal RNA, 253 nt
Filed under: uncultured bacterium
Lineage: Bacteria
Description: partial 16S ribosomal RNA
Rfam family: Bacterial small subunit ribosomal RNA
Source: RNAcentral